This is a regulatory RNA element of Pseudomonas knackmussii B13, 94 nucleotides long. It matches the Rfam family "ivy-DE RNA". Lineage: Bacteria; Pseudomonadati; Pseudomonadota; Gammaproteobacteria; Pseudomonadales; Pseudomonadaceae. The record is from Rfam.
UGGUCAGGGGGCCGGGAGGCUGGGGGGAGCAGUGGAGCCGCAGCCACCCAGGGGUACAGGGAGUACCUCCGCAGAGGGCCGGGCCAGGUGAAAA